UGCAAGUCGAGCGGAUGAGAGGAGCUUGCUCCUUGAUUUAGCGGCGGACGGGUGAGUAAUGCCUAGGAAUCUGCCUGGUAGUGGGGGAUAACGUUCCGAAAGGAACGCUAAUACCGCAUACGUCCUACGGGAGAAAGCAGGGGACCUUCGGGCCUUGCGCUAUCAGAUGAGCCUAGGUCGGAUUAGCUAGUUGGUGAGGUAAUGGCUCACCAAGGCGACGAUCCGUAACUGGUCUGAGAGGAUGAUCAGUCACACUGGAACUGAGACACGGUCCAGACUCCUACGGGAGGCAGCAGUGGGGAAUAUUGGACAAUGGGCGAAAGCCUGAUCCAGCCAUGCCGCGUGUGUGAAGAAGGUCUUCGGAUUGUAAAGCACUUUAAGUUGGGAGGAAGGGCAUUAACCUAAUACGUUAGUGUUUUGACGUUACCGACAGAAUAAGCACCGGCUAACUUCGUGCCAGCAGCCGCGGUAAUACGAAGGGUGCAAGCGUUAAUCGGAAUUACUGGGCGUAAAGCGCGCGUAGGUGGUUCGUUAAGUUGGAUGUGAAAGCCCCGGGCUCAACCUGGGAACUGCAUCCAAAACUGGCGAGCUAGAGUACGGUAGAGGGUGGUGGAAUUUCCUGUGUAGCGGUGAAAUGCGUAGAUAUAGGAAGGAACACCAGUGGCGAAGGCGACCACCUGGACUGAUACUGACACUGA
This 698-nucleotide ribosomal RNA is filed under the name Pseudomonas sp. OC-C1-6. RNAcentral's name for it is "bacterial SSU rRNA". It matches the Rfam family "Bacterial small subunit ribosomal RNA", at positions 56 to 749 of the family's 1533-position model. Lineage: Bacteria; Pseudomonadati; Pseudomonadota; Gammaproteobacteria; Pseudomonadales; Pseudomonadaceae. The record is from RNAcentral.